RNAcentral lists this long non-coding RNA (287 nucleotides) under Mytilus galloprovincialis (Mediterranean mussel). The record is from RNAcentral. Lineage: Eukaryota; Metazoa; Mollusca; Bivalvia; Mytilida; Mytilidae.
UUCUUAGGGAGCUACCAUUUGAUUUUUAUGGGGGGGCUAGGAUGAAAUUUGAAAAAAAUAGGCAGGACAGGAGUUUUGAGUAAAAAAAAAAGGCAGGAUGAGCAACUUGGUAAAAAAAAAGGCAGGAUGACAAUUUGUGUAAACAAAAGUCAGGAUAAACUAGUAAAAAAAAAGGCAGGACCGAAUAGAGUAAAAAAUAAAAAGGCAGGACAGAGAUUACAACUAAAAAAAAAGCAGGACACCAUUUUUCAUCCUAGCCCCCCCAUAAAAAUCAAAUGGUAGCUCCC